CUUCCAGUUCCAGUGUUCUAUGAUUCUAGAGCCAGCUGGUUACUAUUAUAGUUCAGCCUGCUGGAGUUAACCUGCACAUGGGCGCUGGAGGCUAUUAGUAUUCCCAAGGGAAGAUAGAUGUAGGCUUCAUAUAGAGCAGGGUGGACAGUAACUUUUAUGGGGGGGGGAGGACUCCAUGCAUUUUGACAGCGUGUACCCCUGGAAGUACCGGUACCGAGCAUACAAAUAGAGUAGCCCACAGACAGCAGCCACAGCUAGAAAACAGGAACCAAAAUUAUCAGCGCAGGGCACAGUGCCAAAAACUUCACAGCCAGAGCUGCAAAGCCAGACAAGGGCCUGAACCAAUCACUCAAAAUGGCAAAGUGACCACGAGACCUCUGACCGGCUGCUGAUGGGGAGACGGGGCCAUAAGGGACACCGGCAAAUAGCUGUGGACGGAACCUGAAUGGGAAGAUCUGAUCUGGCUCUUUCUAACCAGGAGUUCAAGGGAGGUUGGAUGUACCAUGUGGCUCGGACCUCUCGUUAAGCAUAAACACCAUGGGUAAGAGAGAAAAAAAAAAUCUCUUACUGAGCUCUGAAGACUCUCUCAAAUUCCGGUGGGCCUGCAGUACCCGGAGGGGAGACUUUGUACUUCCGCCUGGCGUAGAUCACUUGCAGAGAAAAAUAGGCUGGAAGAAAACAACAGAAGAGAGUUCAGUAAAACCCAGAGAAAAGAGCCAGCGGGGAGAUAAGAUGCAAACUUCACAGUUCUGCGCUAUCUACAGGAUACGUGGGGAGCCUUUCAAAAGCAAGAUCUGAUCAGAUGUUAAUUCCUGUCACCUCUUCUGCACGUCAGCAAAACAUC
Pelodiscus sinensis (Chinese soft-shelled turtle) is the source of this 844-nucleotide long non-coding RNA. RefSeq lists it as uncharacterized. Lineage: Eukaryota; Metazoa; Chordata; Testudines; Trionychidae. The record is from RefSeq and is a predicted model, not a curated record.